GCCGGACUGUGGCAGUUAAGCCUCCUGAGCUGCUAGGAUUACAGUUAUCCCUCAGAAUCCUCAGAAGAUUGGGAGCAGGAAGCAAUGGAUAUCAAAAUUCAUGGAUUCUCAAGUCUCCAAUAUAAAAUGCACUCUCAAACUCUACAGCAGCCUCUUGACUCUGGUGAGAAAAGGACUUCUCCCUAUGACGGCCUCCUCAGCCAGCCGUCAGCUCCACCCCAAGAGAAGCCUGCCUUGGUUCCUGACCAGAUCACUGGGGUUUGAAUGAGUGUGCAUCUGCUGGACUUAGAGCCUAAGG
Marmota flaviventris (yellow-bellied marmot) is the source of this 298-nucleotide non-coding RNA. Lineage: Eukaryota; Metazoa; Chordata; Mammalia; Rodentia; Sciuridae. The record is from RefSeq and is a predicted model, not a curated record.